UAGUGGCGCCACGCACUCCCACCCACACUCACGUGUGCGGUUAAAGAAGGUUGCACGUAUACACGCGGUGGUAUAGUGCACUCAACGGCAGCGCUGGCCGGCCGUGCAAGUGCAACGUGUGCAUCACGUACAUCGACGAUGAUGUCAGAAGAAUUUGCACCUGGCGGUACGCGAAUGUAUGCCGACGAUCGUACGCUACAUCGUCCAGAGGAAACGAAGAAGGAGAAGCGAAUUCCUGGUGUCGUUAGGAGGUAUAUUGCGAUGGAAACUCCUGGCGAAUGUAUGGCUACAUCUUACUCCAUGGAUACACACCGGCUGAAUGCAAAUAAUUAUCGUGGUUAGUUUACGGUUGCUCGCACGGUAUCGUUUGCUACUGCCGAGAUAAGAACAUGGAAGGGAAAUAUGCGCGUCUGAUGUGUGUACGGCAUGUGAGAGAACGGACACGUUGUCUCGUAUAGCGUAAAUUAUCGGAGACGCUGCUAAGGUAAUUUCUUGUCAUUCCUUAAUAAAUUCCCUAAUAAUUACGCGGACGAUCGUACGACUAAACAGGAGGAUAUGUAAAUCUGGUCGAACGAUGAUUAAUAUACGUUGAGAAGCGUGGUCUCGUCCAUGGUGCAGGUAGACCGCCACGAACGCGAUCGCGAAAGGAAGACAAGGCGGGAAGGAAGGGGUAAGUGCACGAGAUACAGGUUGAUCGAUUUGGUAGACAGGUUACCGGUUCCUCAGGGGCGGCAUCAGUGGAUCUUCAGAGGUUCCAGAGAGGCUACUGAAUUACUGACAGCCAAAUAACAGGCCGAUCCCUGGCGUGAUGUUCCACGCGUUGUCGGCGCCCUUUCUCUUCCACCGUUCCUCUUGCUCUGCGGCGUCUCGCAGCUCGAACCUGCGGUGCUUGGUUGUCCCAAUAUGGGCCAACAUAUUAUGCAUAUCGGCCAUCGUGCCUCUUAUCUAAACGACGUAAGUACGGGCGCUUCUCUUUGGAGAAGCCGCCUGCAAAUGUUCAUCGUGUCCCGGUGCUUAUCCGAGCCGCUGCCAUUCGUCGGAUCAACUUGAUUAGGCCAGAAUCCUUCGGACAGCUCCGUAAAUGAAACGUACCCAUCUCGAAAACUAGUAAGACGAUCCCGCAGCUACCGUCCUCCGACCGCUAGAAAAUAACACCGGUAAUAAUACCAGGUUUUAACCAGAUGCGAUAAAGCGAAUCGUUCCUGUUUCGUUCUUCGUUUAGAUACUUAUUGCAUCACGGCAUUCGGAGAAUAG
RNAcentral lists this unclassified non-coding RNA (1254 nucleotides) under Bombus terrestris (buff-tailed bumblebee). Its description in RNAcentral is "misc RNA ENSBTSG00005026169.1". Lineage: Eukaryota; Metazoa; Arthropoda; Insecta; Hymenoptera; Apidae. The record is from RNAcentral.